AGAGAGAGAGAGAGAGAGGGAGGAUUAGUGCUAUUUGGGCUCCAAGUUUAAUUUCCUCUCUUUUAACUUCCCAUUCCCUGCAACCACAUCAUUCUAGCAUGGAACAGAGCUGCAAAAAACUGGAGCCCAAAUAGCACUACUUGAGGUAACAGAGGGGAGAAUAUAGAGAGUCUACUAGUUCCAAUAGCAGCAGAAUCAGCAGAAGGAAGCCCUAAUACUUUUUUUUUUUUUUAACUGUUCUUUGUCUGUAGAGUGUUGUCAUGGAGGAAAUCAAGCAACACAGUACUCUUGCAUUUGGGGCAUUUAGGGUCAUCUUCCGAGAGCAUCACAUACAUGAGGCACCUUGGGCAUCCCACAAGCACCAUGGAAGUAGCUUCAGGGCUAUUAGAGUAUAGCAGAGUGUCUUCUUGGUUCAGCUCUGAUGACACACAUGAGCUUGGUGGUGAUGUUGGUGAAACUGUCGCUGACCGGCUUGGUGAUUCCACUCUAGGAUUAGCCCUUGGUGGUGAUAGGUUCAGCUUCAGGUCGAGCUUGGGCCCGUUGCCAUUUCUUCGACUCAUCUUUGAUGUGUUCUGUGUAGUAUAUUUCACCUGUCAAAAAACAUAACCAACAGAGUUCAAUUCAGGAACUAAACGGUUCAAACACAAGUGAUUAGAUAUAAACUAGUUUAAAACAUUGGCAUGAAUGAUACCUUAAGGUUAAGUAACUUCUGCUAACCUAAAAGCAGAGGAGAGGGCUCUUCUAAUUAAAUAUAGGAGGAAGAAGGAAAGUUGGUAUUAUGGAAGAAGAGAUCAAGAGUGAGUGGAAGAGUAGCUGCUAGGUUUGAACCAUGACCAACAACACUAGCACCUUCAAAAUGAUCUUGGUGUUGGUGGGUUUGAACCUGCAAGGCCACUAUAAAUAAGGGAAAUGAAGGGAGAGAGAUGGGGUUUUCUUUAAAGCUUAAUUUAAUUAUGGGGGAGAGGUGGA
This 969-nucleotide unclassified non-coding RNA is filed under the name Hevea brasiliensis (rubber tree). Lineage: Eukaryota; Viridiplantae; Streptophyta; Magnoliopsida; Malpighiales; Euphorbiaceae. The record is from RNAcentral.